UUUAAGUCUUUUAUAAAAUAAAACACAAAUAUAUGAAAAUGUGACAUUUACUAAAUAUUUGUCAAUUGAAAAAAAAAUAAAAAUAAACCCGCGCUUUGAAAGCGCGGAUCAAAAUCUAAUUUUGACUUAUAUAGUUGGACGAUUACAUAAUCCCUAUAUAUUGGGCUAGCAUACAUUUUAUUUUCUUUAUGUAAACAGAGUAUAAAUAUAUGGUAUAUUAUAAUUGAAUUCAUUGGUAUAUUAUGAUUGAAUUCAUAAAACAAUCAUUAAGCUAUUUUUGGCAAUACGUGUAUUUGUUUUCCAUAUCAAAUAAAUACUCAAUAACAUUAAUUACUUUUUUUCUUCUAUACCAUAGCAAGUGGCGCCAAUAUUUAGAGAAGAUUCUUUUAUCUCACGCCGGACAACUCACGAAGAUGGCGUAAUGUGCUUUAGCUUAAGUAAAAAUUUAAUAUAUUCCUAGCGAAAUUACCAUCUAUAUAUUGGACCAACAUUGUUUUUCAAUUGAAUAUGAAAUUGCCACGUCAUACUAAUUGUUAUGCUAAUUAAUUGACACCUAAAUUUAAACAAUUUUUUAAUUAGUACAAACUAAAUGUUAUAAUUUUUUUAAUGUUAUUCUAUUAAUAUAAAGGGGAUUUCAUAAUUCAAAUCUAACAAAUAUAGAAAUAUAGUAAUAAUGUUAAUAUGCCAGAAUGAUAUUGGUUUGCUCUUCAAGUGUUUCCGUUUAUUCUUCAAAAUUUUCAUGGGUUUUACGGGCUUUAUGAUCGUGGUUCGUAAGAUACAUAUUUCACGGUGUAAUAUAUAUCUAAUACUCCUCCGCAUGAUAAACGUGAGAUGUACAUCACACAAUCUGCAGUCACAAAGUAGACCACACAUGUCGUAGACACUAUGCCGAGGAAAACAAAUCCAUAGGCUCUUCCGGGUAUAAAAUCCGAUUUAUACAAUGAUGGAUACAAACUUCAGCUCUUCUUAGGUAUUGAAAAAAUGAGAAUACAUCUCGAGGGCGCAAUUGCAGCUCCACAGACAAUCGUCCUUAUUUCAGUCAGUCCAUAACUCGAACUAAACAACUCGAUCUAUAAAUUUGAGCGUGCAACCAGCACUCCCCCAUAAUGAUUAAACUAUAAUCAACAAAUUCCAAACGAUGGAAAAACAAAUACUUUGAGAUAUUCUAGAUUAUACAAUAAAUCUCAGAGAAAAUUAACCCACGUGAAAGCCACAAACCCGUAAACACCAUUAAAUCUCUCUAUAACUCUUGUAUUCACCAAAACCAAACUAUAUAAAAAAGAAUCUAAACAAAAACAAAGCACGUAGAAAAACUGUUGCACGUACCAAAGGAAAACCCACUAAAGCUUUUAAUUAAUAAAACGAAACACUAAGUUUAGUUAGAGAUCACGUGAACACUAACUUAAGCUUAUGUUGCUUCACGUCAUCGUCUUCGGCACCAUAGUCUCCGUCAUUGUCAACACCACCGAUGAUAAGCAUUAUCAAAGCUUAAAACAUAUAACGCAGAAGUAUUAAUCUCUAAAGUCUAAUUUAACAUAGCAUCAGAACCCGAACACACUGUACCCAAUUGAACUGAAAUGAUAAGGCCUAUCAAAAGAAGCCCAAUCGAUCUUAAACCAACCUGACUCGAAUGGUAUGGCGGUCUGACCGAACUGAAUCCUAGAUCUUGAUUCUCGAGGGAGAGUGUAAGAAUAUAAGCUUCCAUUUUGGGAGUUCAAUUGGAACAUGAGUAAUAUAUAAUGGAUACAUACUAAUUAAAUUAUCACCAAUGGACUUUAAGUUUGAAUCUCGUAGUAAUUGCAAUAUAUAUCCCUUAACAAGUAUCCUUAAACGUACGUCGCCAAAAGCAAUAUCUACUUUUUAAAAGCCAAAUACAAACACGUAACAGAGUAUUUUUGGGAACAUUCAAUGGAUAGAAAGACCUGUAUUUUUUUUGCUCAAAAGAAAGACCUGUCUAAGUAACCUAAUCCACUGAAAAGGCUCUUGGCCAUAAGAAAAUAAGGACGCAGCAUAAAAGUGCAUGCGGUUGCUUUGGUGGCAGUGUAUAUAUCAGUAUAUACCAGGGCAUGAAAUCUGGCGACGAUGACUCCAAUUUGUGCAUUGAGUUAUACAAUUGUUUUGACGACUAGUACUUAUUUGAAUGGAUAAGGAUGCCAAAGGCAUGCAUUUGUUUUCCUUUAAAAGUUCAUGAGUUAUGUACAAGUUACCUUCAUAAUUCAAAUUCAAUCAAUCAUAUCAAAUGCUAAGAAAAUAAAUGAUAUUUUUUUUUAAUGACUGAACCCCAAAUCAAAAUUUGACUAUUUUAGAGCUUUUAAUAUAUUAAUAAAAAAGAAUAAUAUUAUAAUAUUUGUGUGUACAAUUUUUUUUAAUAAAUAUUUGUAAGAGUAUGCCGAUCACUAGUUUCGAGAUGUAUCUCAUAAAAAUAUGAGAGAAAACACAUUCGAUUUUCAUUUGAAAUUUUUUCACUUUAAGUUAUUCUAAUUAAGUUUAAUUAUAGAAUUAAAUUAUAAUAACAUACAAAAUUUCUUUUUAAAUUUUUUUAUUUUGGGUAUGAAGUUGCUACUUUUAAGAGCAUAAUUAUUGGAGGGUUAUACCUCAGUUUCUCACAAAUAAAAGACAAUAAAAAAGAAAUAUGAGAGAGAAAGCAUAAAUACAAUACUAAAAGGGGAAUAAGCUGAUCAGAGAGACCCUCCACGUCGACAGAUAAAAUCAGCCAAUAGGGUGCUUUCUUUUGUCCACGUCACACAGACUUGGCCUGAUCUUGGGCUUCUAAAUCCGUGCAAAAGAAAAGUCCAGCAUCGUACGUAACCAAACCCAGAAUAUGUGUGGCCCUAGCUCUAUCUCAUUUCAUCUCUUCGGUUCCACGGAGAUCUCUUCCACGACUCAUCUCUUGCCUUUUCUCCUUCUCGAACGGAUCGAUCAAUAAGACGUGGUAUCCUCCUCCGAGCCGAUCAAACUGGAGUCUCUCUCGAUACAGCUGCCUCCGGCGAUUCGAAGUAUAAGAAGCAAGACGACAAAGUUAUGUUUGAUAUGUUUAAUUUCUUUUGCACCUUUUUUAGUAUCUUUGUGGUUUUUUUCCCUCAGUUAUGUUUGAUAUGUUUACUGAUUCGGAAUUUGGUCUGAUUCUACGCUUCUGAUUUGAUAGAUGAACAAAUAAAUGAAUCAGAACCAUUGAUUCGAUCGAGUGGAGGCAGAGCGUCUGAAGCUUUGAUGUCAUCGAGAAAAAUCUUUUGUCUUAGAGAGUUUAAGAGUUCCAGGGGAACAGGUUUAAGAUGAUAAAGGCAAGGAUGAUGAUGAAGAAUCAAGGCAAGCCAAAUUGUACCAUGAUAUUUUCUUCGUUUCUUUGAAAUUUUAGUUUCUUAGACGGACUACUGUGACCUAUUCUCAACUUAAGCAACAAACUUUCAGAGUCAUCGAGUCAGUCAUGGAAUCUGCUGCCAAGAAAAAGCAAAGAAAUACCUUUUUGUACUGAGGCUUGCUCAUAUAAGACAACAGUAUGUCUAAAUGUUCGUCGAACUUGAGGGGUGGAUGGAUAUAAGGUUUUUAAUCCUUAAUAGCUUUGGGAUGCUGUACCGUUACUGAAAAGCUAUGGGAGAAGGGCUCCAUCAGGAGGACAGCGUGUUGAGGAAGGCGGUAGGGAAAACGAAAAAAAGGGUGGUGAAGUAACAGAGAAUCUCCUGGACAUUGACCCGCUAGGAAACAUGGUUAGAAAUGAUAUUCAAGUGUAGAAUAAUAAAGAAAGAAAAACUUCAAAGGAUAAGGAAGAGUAGAAGACAAAACCAAGUGGACCACCAAUAUUGUUGAUGAGAAGAUCGAUAUGUUUGCCUUUGGUGUAUUGGUUCUAGAAGUCAUAACCAGUCGUAGAGCUGUUUGAUACAACAUAAGCCAUGUCGGCGGUGGUGGUGAAUGCGUGCUAUUUCAGGAUCACACAGCCCCCUCAUACCUAAAACGAACUCAUGUGCCACGGGCAAUUCCUAAUGGAGUGAGUAGAAUCAAUCAAAUAAAAAUUGAUGUCUGGUAACUAAUGUGCUUAUGUCUUGCCUUAGUCACCCUUGACUGAGUUUUGUUUCUUAAUAUUCUUUAUUGGUUGCUUCUUUUAUUUCGUCAACCAAACGGUGAAUAUCACCUAGAUGUGUCUCUAUGUUGUUUUACUGAUCUUUGUUUAGGCUCAAACCCCGAAGGAGUUGUCAAUAUUCUACAGAGUUCAUUAUAGUUUUAACCUAAGCAUAAAACCCCAGUGGACAAAGAAACUCCCAGAUUAAAAAGUGUUAAAUAUAUGGACCUUAUUAGCAACAAGCUCUGCUUCCUUAUGUCCUCUACAAUCUUUUUUUUAUGUUCGUUCAUCUUAGGAAAAAUAUAAAUUUAUUUUUGCUUUGUACAUGGUAAAUUAUGAAUUCUGGAGAUAUUAUCAUUAAUGAAACUUUGGGGCUGAUAGUGUGUUUAAAUACAGAUGCACAUCGAUAACUUUUUACAAUUUUUUUUAAAAUUCUACUUUGUUUCUCAGUUUCCUGAAUUCAUUUUUAAAACUGUUUCCAAAACAACUGAGAUUUGUUUCUAUUCUCACGUUUGUUAUAUUAUCUUCUACACAAUCAAUACCCAUGACUAAUACAUCUACACGUGUGUGAUGCAUUAAUUACAUUUGCAUGAAUUUUCAUCAGCAUGCCUUUGUAACUCCUUUCCCUGAGGUUCCACAUGGGGCAGAAACUAAAGACCAAUCCCAAGUUCACACAGAAGAAACUGAAGCUCAAUCUGAUGUUCCAGAGGAAGUUCUUUUUCCUUAGUUAUUUUUCCUUCUCCAGACGAAGGUUGUGCUGAGGAGGAACGGGUGGGUAAAGAGACUGAUGGAAAUUCUGAGGAUGACUGUAGGGAAGUUUGAUGCAUAGAAACAGAGAUGAUGUCAGAUGUCACUAGACAUCCAGAGGAAAAAUAUUCCGCAGAGCAGUUCAUAUAGAUUUGGCGUUGUUAAUGCAGAAGAAGAACCAGUAUCUUUGACAGAGCCAAAGAACCUACAACUAUCCAUUGAAGAAGAACCAGUGUGUGUGACAGAGCCAAAGAACAUACAACCACCAACUGAAGCUGAAAAGGAAGAGAAGGAAGAGGAGGAAGAAGAAGAAAGAGUAAAGGAAGUGAGUAGUGCCUCUACUGAACCAAAACAAGAAAGCAAACUCAUCAAAACCCCUCCACCAUGCUGAUUUCAAAUCAUCUCCUGAUGAGUUUGGUACAAGCCGCCUUAGUAGUAGUAUUUAUCACUCCCUCUCCUGAAAAGCCAUUCUCUUGGCUUACGGAGAGAGAAUCACAACCGGUCCGAGGCAUGAAACUGACUAGAAGCCGGAGCUGCAGAGCAAGCGUGUUAUCGAGUUCUUCCCCAUCUUGGUUUGAGAAAGAUGCUGCUGACACACCGCCAAGUUGGUACGACAAAGGAUUCUUCAUCAAAGCAGCUGAAAUGCGCGACAUCAAGAAUGAGAGGUUGCUGCAGGAUGAGUUUAGCGGGAGGAGCAUGCCAACAAGAUGGAUCGAGAGAAGCUUGAGCGACACCCAAACUGCGUAUGCUACUUCUUCUUCACAUAACGAAAUGUCGUCAUCACCAAAUGAAUCGCUCUCCCGCCCUCUGAUGUUUCUGUGUUUGAGCUUCAGAGCCCUUCUACAAGCCAGGAGAAAACUGAGGAAACUGCUGCUCAGAAACACAAGCGAAACAUUCAUCGCUCGGUUAGUUUUUUUGGUUCAAGUUUACCUUUUUUUUUUAACUUUAUCAUAAAACAUUUUAUAAUUUCUCACAUUAAUGAUAUAGUUACAUUUGAUUUAUGAUAAAUUAACAACUAUGCUAUUGUUUAUAUGGGAUAAACAAGCAGUUUCUUUCAAACAAAUAUAUUGAACAACAAAGGAACAAUCCUUAAAUAUAUAAAUGUCAGACAAAUAUUUUCAAUUAAUUAUGUACGAUUUUUUUUUUUUUGAUAAAUGACGUAAAUAACAUAUGCAAAUUUAUACUCGGUUCAGCAUUAUUAAAAAAAUCAUUUUCAAGAACUUCAUAAACAUUAUUCAAAACUCUAAUUGGGUAUUUUAACAAAUAAUUAUUUACAAAAUAAUAAAUACCAAAAAGUUUAAUAUUGAAAAUAAUUAUGGCUUCAAAACUUAAAAAAUUGCUGAAUCAUUUUAUUGGUUAUCGAAAUUUACAGAAGUAUUCAAAAUUAUUACACAUUUAUAAAAUUAUAUAUUUAUAUGAAAUAAAGGUUAUUUACCUAUACUUCAAAAAUCAGACGAUAUAU
Molecule: long non-coding RNA, 6263 nt
Organism: Brassica napus (rape)
Lineage: Eukaryota; Viridiplantae; Streptophyta; Magnoliopsida; Brassicales; Brassicaceae
Exons: 3
Source: RefSeq, a predicted model, not a curated record